CUAAUUCUUAUAUACACUCAAGUCUCAUAUUAUUUUUCAGAACACGGGCGUUACAGGUUCCUCCUGAUGCGACUGAGAAUCACUAACAUGCUCGACCGUAAUACUCUGGUCCACACUUGUGUCGCUACCCGAGGCAACACCACGCCCCAUACGGCGACCACUCCCACGACCCCGACCACGACCGCGACCGCCAUCUCCACCUCUAACCAUCUACAACACAACAGAAGGCUAAGAAAACCAAAUAAACAUCACCAAAACACACAACUUACCGUGGAAUCUCAUUGAAAGCUCGAGAGGAUGAUCUAGGUCUUCAUGCUCACACAAUUGAUUAAACACCCAAAUCAAUCAGUAUGCAAUCCACAUCAUCAUUUCUCAUCAACGAAAUUCACACAUCACAUUAAAAAUCAACCAUUUAUUCCCGCCCUAGAACCGUAAGGGCUGUGAUACCAAAUUGAAAGAACCCGUCCCUUUUUAAAAAAAAAAACAUGCAGACCUGAUUAACCGAACCAAUUGUAAACCAGCCCUAAAUCAAUUCAAAUCAAUUACACCACACAAAACAUAACCAGCAGAAGACUUAAGCACAAUUUCAUUAAAAUAAUUCCCUUAAACCAGCAAGUUCAAGAAAACAUUAUUCCGGAAACAUAAACACCUACAUGUUUCUAAAUUCCGUUCUAACACCCUAACAAAUCCAACGAUAAUCUAAAACACCAGUGAGCGCCUAGAUCAUCCUCUUGUCCUCGUCAUGAUUCCACGGAUCACACUUUAGCUUUACCUCUAUCACAGAAAAGAGAUGCAUAAGUAUUUCAUAAAUACUUAGUGAGAAUCAUCCCACUACUGGCUAUACAAACAAGCAGUAGUGAACACAUUCAAGUAUUAACUCAAAUUUGUUUUACAUAUGUUGCAAUUUGAAUUUUUCUAAACGGACAUAUAUUACUCGAUUAACAAAAAAAAUGUAUGUAUAACGUCCCACAUCUGCUAAAAUAUUUUUGACAAUACAGUUCAAAUCAUUAGAAAUAAUACCAACAUGCUUCAAACUACGAUAGAGCAGUAAACUUGACUUACCCCGCAUCCAAAUUUAAAACUUUUAUUUAAUAUAAUCCGGUUUUAAGUUUGAACAAAGUAAAACUUUUAAAUAGCUUCAAAAUAUUAUAACAGUUAAAAAUUUAAAAGGUUCAUAUAUACUAAUUAUUAAAACUUUUAAAUGGUUCAAAUAUAAUAAAUAUAUAAAAUAAUUUAUAAUUUUGCAACGGGUCAUAAUAUAUAUUACAUUAUUAAUAAUUUUGCAACGGGUCAGAUCAUGAUACACACCACUUAAGUUUUACAGCCAAAUACUUUGUAAUACCAAAUCUAACAUAAAUAUAAUUUUUAAUUAUAUAGAAAGAAUAUUCUUUCCCAAAAUAAGGAAUAUUCCUUCCAAAAAAUUUCCUCCCAAAAAUUUCCUGCCAAAAAUAUUUCCGGAAAACUUUUUUCCCGAGAAAGGUUUCCCACCAAAUUUUCUUAAAGGGUUUACAAGGAUUUUUAAAUGAUAUUUUAAAGGUCUUACAAGGGUUAUUAAAGGGAUUAACAAGAGUUUUUAAAUGGUUUUUAAAAAAAUUGUAAUGGUUUUUAUGGAGUUUUAGAGGCUUACAAAGGUUAUUGAAUAGUUUUUAAAUGAUUUACAAUGGUUUUUAAAAAAUUUUAUAAGUUUAUAACAGUUUUAAAAAGAUUUACAAGGAUUUUUAAAAGAUUUUAAAUUUUUACAAGGAUUUUAAAGGGUUUUAAAAGGAUUUACAAGUGUUUUUAAAAGGAUUUACAUUUUUUUUAAAGCAUACAAGGAUUUAAAAAUGGUUUUACAAGGAUUUUGAAAGAUAUUUCCAAAGAUUUAAAAAUAGUUUCAAAGGAUUUACAAGGUGUUUAAAGGGUUUUAAAAGUUUACAAAGGUUUUUAAAGGGUUUACAAAAACUUUUAAAGGUAUUACAAGUUUUUAAAAAUGGUUUUUAAGGAUUUACAAGGGUUUUUAAAGGGUUUUAGAAGUUUACGAAAUUUUUUAUUAAAGGUUUUAUCACGGUUAUAAGGGGUUGUAUAUAAAUGUUAUAAAAUGAUUUACAAUGGUUUUAAAAGGUUUACUCAAGUUUUGAAAGGUUUUAGAUGACUUUUAAAAGAUUUACGAGGGUUUUUAAAGGAUUUGUUUAAGGGUUUUAAAAAUAUUUACAAGGUUUUUUAAGGAAUUGCGAAAACAUUUUUGCUGAAAUUUUUUGGCGGAAAAGUUUUUGUUAGAAAAUUUUUAGGCGGAACCUUUUUUUUGCGGAAAAAUUUUGUCGGAAAUUUAUGGCGGGAAAUUUUUCGGAAGGAAUAUUCUUUUUGCUGAAAAGAAUAUUCUUUUUGCUAGAAAGAAUAUUCCUUUCUGAAUUAUAAUAAAGAAUGGUAAUUUAGUCAUUUUGUAUAUUGAAGAGGGUAUUUUUGAAAGUAGACACCUAAAGAGUGUAUUUGUAGAAAAAGGUAUUGGUAUAUCAUAGUUUUUACGUGUUUUUGCCACGAUAUAAGUCUUAUUUAUAGAGCUUUUAUAGUGUUUUCGAGUUUUUUGUAGUCAUUUCAGGAUUAGGAGCAUAUGGGAGCAUUUGGAGAAGAUGUGCCGAAAGAAGAUACCGGGAGAACAUAUUUGGUGUGAGUGUCGAGCGUCACAACUUCUGGUGUCGAUCGACACCAAUAUCUGACGGCAAUUGAAUUUCACGCUUAAUUGAAGUUCAGAAGAUUUGCAGAUUCGGUUCAGAAGUUUCCAUUAUUUGCAAUUAAGCCCAGUUCGUGGUUAAGACAUAUAUAUAUUGAGUUUUAGGGUUUUGUUAAGAAAAAGCUUUAUUUUGGGGAGAGAGAGAUUUGUAGAGAGCUGGGAGAGAAGAAUCAAAACCUCCUUUAGAGAAGAUUCAGAACUCCUUUACUUCUUCUAUUACUUUCUUUUAAUGAUAUCUAUUUUAUUCAUGAUGUUUGAUUCAAUCACCAUGUCUGAGUAGAUCUCUUGUUAGGUUUAGGGUUUUCAAAGGAAUUCAUGAGUUGUUAGGUUGUUAGAUUGUUAGGAUUGAAUUAAUAGAGUUCUUCAUCUAGAUUGUGGUUAAUUUGUUCUAGAGUAGUGAAAGCAACCUAGAAUCUGAUCUUAGGUGAAUUGGUAGACACGAAAGUGUUAUUGAUUUCCUGAAAAUAAUCUAGAUGAGCAAAAUACCUACUCGCAAAGAGAUUUGGUUUAGGGAUUUUGUGAACUUAACAAACCUGAAUUAAAUGCAUGUCUUAGACUUAUAAAUUUGCAAAGAGAUUUGGAAUUUAGGAUUCUAGACAUAGAUAGUCUUUGCAACGAAAGUUGAUUGAUUAUAUUUUUGCGAUUUGAGUUCAAGAACAGUGCUUUAUAAAUCCUGAAAAUUAUUUAUUUGCAAUUCUGAAUUUCCGGAGAAUAUCCCUAGGUCUAGCUUUUCCUCAUUAUUGUUUUAUAACCAAUUUUUAAUUUAAUUUGCUGUUUUUAUUUGAUUUAAAACCUGCUUACUUACAAUAAUUUAAUACCAAAUAUCUAUUGUGUAAUUGUUGAGUCUCUGUGGAUUCGAUCCCUAAGUACUAUCGUGAUCUCUUAAUUGAGAGAGUAGCUCAGGACAAAUUUGAGCUGAUCAAAUUUUGGCGCCGCUGCCGGGGACUCAAUUUUGAUUACCAUUAGAUAAAGGUUAAAAGUUUAGUGUAAGUUUUUAUUUUAUUUUGUUACUUACGCUUUUCUUUUCUCUUUUCUUUUUGGUGUUUCAGGUUUAUGCCUAAUACCAGAAGCAAGAACACAGAGCUAGUUGAUCUCAACAAUCAAGAACUAGCGGGUUUAAAAAGAGAGAAUCGAAAAGCUCAGAAACAGGCAGCAAUGGUUGCGCCAGUGAUUUUGAUUCAAGAUGCUGAGAGUACUCUUAGAGAUGGAGAUGGACAUCUGAGGAAUGCACAAGGGCAGAAGCUGAAUGCUGACGGGACUGUGAUUCCUGAGCCAGUCGUCGGUGUCGAGCGACACCAACUGGGUGUCGAUCGACACCAAGCCGCAGCACACAACAAUCAGUUAGCGUUGCAUGCUGAAGUAGAGGAUGAAAACGUACACUUGGAGAAUACAACAGGCAUGCACUGUUUUAUUCUAACCGCUCUGCUAUACGUCCUCCUGCAUUUCAGAGGAACAACUUUGAGCUGAAGCCUGGAUACUACACUCUUGUAGGACAACACCCGUUCCAUGGCCAUACUUAUGAGCAUCCAAUGGACCAUAUUGAGAAGUUUGAGGAUCUGGUAUCUAGCAUCAAGGCUGAUGGUGUAUCUUCCGAUUUUCUGCUCUGCAAGCUUUUCCAGCACUCUUUAGCUGGAGAAGCACUAUCUUGGCUGAAGGAGUUGAAGCCUGGAUCUCUUACGUGUUGGAAGGAUGUAAAAGAUGAGUUCUUAAACAACUUUUACGAUGAUGCGAGGUCGGAGGAGUUGCAGAAAAAGAUUUCUACCUUUUCUCAAGGGAUCUCAGAGGCUUCCAAGGCUGCUUGGGUGCAUUUUAAGGGUUAUCAGAGAGAUUGUCCACCCCACGGGUAUGACAAAUUUAAGCUUUUGGGCAUUUUCUACAGAGGAUUGGAUUGGAGGUACCAGAUGGCUUUGGAUGCUGCUAGCAACGGUAACUACAACACAAGGUCUCCAGCUCAAGCCACCGAACUGAUUAAGAACUUAGCUUCCAGCAACAGUACUAAAGUCGCUGAUUUUGUGAGGAAGAAGCUAGCUCAAAACAUGGAUGGUGUUCAACUCGCUGACGUUAAGGCAAAGCUCGAUUCAGUGCAUAACCUUCUUGUUACUAAGAAGAGUGUUAAGUUUGCUGCUAAGGUUGAGGCUUUUGAAUCAUAUGAGGAUGAAAAAGAAGACGUGAACUACGUCAAUGGUGCUGGGUAUCAAGGUCAGAAGUUUGGUAACACACAGGGUAACCGGUACAACAUUGGGUAUGGUCAGAAAGGCACCUGCAGUUUCGUCAGAACCUAUGGAAAUUCGUCUUACCAGUCACCUCCCUCUCCAUCUGCAGAUACUGAGAUGAAGUCAAUGCUAGAUCAGAUUCUAGCGUGUCAGCAGAACAUGACAGUGGACUUCAACGGGAAGAUGGAUGCCAUGUACACUGACUUGAAUGGCAAAAUCGAAGCUUUGACCACUUAUAACAAUAAGUUAGAAACUCUUGCUGCACGGACUACUGGAUCUGUGAAGAAACGAGAAGGGUGUAAUGCCAUUUUGAUUAGAGAUGGAGAUAAUGUGUGGGAGGAGAAAACAAGUGAAGAUGAUGAAACUGCACUUGCACAGCAAGUGUCGCUCGACACCAUCUCACGGUGUUGAUCGACACUAACACCAGUUCUUGUGGAUUCGGCUCCUGACGGACCAAUAUCGAUCGCGAUCGACACCACCAUAUCGACGAUUGUUGAUCGACACCUUCCCAGUUUUGAUCGACACCCCUCACAAACACAACCGGUUUUUCCCGAAACUCCGCGACCAUCUACAGAAAAGAUCUACAAGUCUAAGGUUCCUUUUCCAAAGCCUAGGAAGUAUAAACAGGAGAUAGAAGAAGCUCGAUGCAAGGCAAUGAUGGAAAAGGUGGUUAAUGAGAUACCUCUAGAUCAUUCUUGAUCACGAUUCACCUAUGCUUAAGCGGUGUGUUAAGAGGAUGGUCCAAAAUGACGUGAGCCCUGAGGAACGAGCUUUGCUGGCUAGAGACAUGGGUGCUAUCUUCUUGAAACAGACCCCACAUAGUAAGAAAGAAAAAAAGAAGAAAGUGUUUGUUUCUGAAAAAUUUAGUGCCAUGAUUCAGAGCAGGAUUCCAGAGAAGUUACCUGAUCCAGGAAGUUUCGUGCUUGACUGCUCUAUCGUCACAGAUAGAUUUCCUCACUCUCUUUGUGAUCUUGGUUCAGGUAUCAACUUGAUACCAUACUAUGUUGCUGUGAGACUUGGGAUGACAGAUUUCAAGCCGACUAGGAUCUCUCUUAUCCUAGCUGGUAGGUCCAAAAGAAUUCCCGAAGGUGUUUUAGAGGAUGUCCUAAUAAGGAUUGGUGAAUGCAUGAUUCCUAUAGACUUUGUGGUUUUGAAGUAUAGCAAGAACCUCAGGAUCCUCUUAUCCUUGGGAGAUCUUUCUUGGCUACCGCUGGUGCUCUUAUAGAUGUUCAGAAAGGAACGGUUGGACUUCAUGUGGGUGAUUUGGUUAUGAACUUUGAUAUGGACAAGUUGAGGCGAACGCCUACUAUUGAUGGCUAGACUUUUUCUGUAGAGGAAGCCAUGGAUGAGAAGGCAGUCAAAAAGUAUUCGGAAGAUAUUACUGCUCAAGACCAGAGCAAGGUUCUAUCAAUUGAUAAGUUGCUGGAGGAUGAUGAUUUUGUGCUAGCGAUGAGGAUCGCCGAGACGAAUUGCAGAAAAAGUGCAGAAACACGAGCAGCAGGCUCAGUGUCGAUCGACACCACCAGUGUGUCGAUCGACACCCCUCGUCACGACAGUCGAAACUUGCCAAAAACAAAUGGUUUUCGGGUUGAUCUUACUGCUGCAAGCUUGAGCCCUGUUCUGAAUCGGAAAGCUUCACCACCCAUAUUCCAGAGACCUCGAGAAAACCAAAGGUACGCAACUUCUUUCCCCAAACCUUCUCAUAUCAUCAAUAAGAAUUCCAAAGGUACAAAGACUGUUUUGCAGUUAACCAAGCCACGACAUUAUCGUAGAGCGCUUGUUGGUUCUUUUGAUGAUGUUGCAGGUAAAAGAAGUGUCCCACCCAUACCUAGCUCUUGUCCUGCUGGUGCUCCUCGUGUACUUGGUCGAUCUCAUACACCUAAUGCUUAUACACCACCUUGGAUGAUGAGACACUAUUCUCGGAGGUAUUUACUGCCGCUUCCCGACCCACCGAACGCAUGAGCCCCGAAAAAGUCAAGCUAAUGACUAAAAACAAGCGCUUAGUGGGAGGCAACCCACUUGUGAGUUUUUCUACUUCUUUUGCAUUUUUCUUAGUUUUUUUUCUUUUAUUUGCCAUUCUUAGGCUUGGCAACACUAGGGACAAUGUUGUUUAAGUCUGGGGGAGGUAGUUACUAACAUUGUUUAUUCUUUUGGAGUUUUAUCGAGUUUGUCCAAAAAAUUUUUUUUUUUUUUUUGUGUUUUAUUGAGUCAAAAUUUUUGUAGGGAACAAUGAACUUAUUCUAAUGGUUUCUCUGAUUUGGAUUAACACUCUUAUGAUUACAUUUUUAUGCUUGAUCUCAGAACCGAAGUUUGGAACGACUAUGAGCUGUAUCAACAAUCCUGAAAGCCCUUAUUCAUUGGAUAUCCAGUUGAUCUAACGUUGUCUCUACUUUUAUCAGGACUUAAUUGGACUUAGUCUCUUACCUUGGGAGUUGGAAUAAAUUGGACUAGACUUCUUCUACGAGCCGCACAAGACACUGCAGUUCUUCAAAGUAUGAUUCCUUCCUUCUCUCUUCCCUUCAGCCUUUAAAAGAAAUUGUGGAAAAGGCUAUAGGUAGAAGUGAUAUGAGGGAUGUCGCGUAAACCGUGCAUACUUCGGAUCUCAUGGAUACCCGAAUAAGAAAAAAGAGUGCUAUAAAAAAAAUCAGAAAAGAAAGAAAAAAAAAAGAGAAAGAAGAAAAAGGAAUCGUUGAAAAAAUAAAAUGAUACCCUAGAAAAGUAGGGAGAUGUCGAUUACCUUAGAUGUGGGAAAAGGGAGAAGAAGUGAAAUCAUACGAAGAAUGUCUUGGUUUGAGAAGAGUCCAUAUGCCAUUGAUCGAUAUUCACUCGGUAAGAAUUCAUCUUUACUUGUUUUAAAUUAUGUACAGAGACGACAAUGGAGAUACUGGAGAUUCCUGAGGAUUGUGGGAUUAGAGUAAGGAAUGUUGAUGCUUCUCAUAGGCAAAGUACAUAAAUUAAGUUCUAGAGUCAAGGCGAUGAAGAGUGCAAAGAAGAAUUUCCUGUAGUUGAGUGAGUUCCCGCGUUUUCAAACUUCUUUCACAGGUUAAGUUUCUGUUUUGCUUGAGGGCAAGCAAAGGCUAAGUCUGGGGGAGUUGAUAUAUCAUGGAUUUUACGUGUUUUUGGCCACGAUAUAAGUCUUAUUUAUAGAGCUUUUAUAGUGUUUUCGAGUCUUUUGUAGUCAUUUCAGGAUUAGGAGCUAUUUGGCAUGGAUUGGAGCAAAUGGGAGCAUUUGGAGAAGAUGUGCCAAAAGAAGAUACCGGGAGAGCAUAUUUGGUGUGAGGGUCGAGCAUCACAACUUCUGGUGUCGAUCGACACCAAUAUCUGAUGGCAAUUGGAUUUCACGCUUAAUUGAAGUUCAGAAGAUUUGCAGAUUCGGCCCAGAAGUUUCCCUUAUUUGCAAUUAAGCCCAGUUCGUGGUUAAGACAUAUAUAUUAAGUUUAGGGUUUUGUUAAGAAAAAGCUUUAUUUUGGGGAGAGAGAGAUUUGUAGAGAGCUGGGAGAGAAGAAUCAAAACCUCCUUCAGAGAAGAUUCAGAACUCUUUUACUUCUUCUAUUACUUUCUUUUAAUGAUAUUUAUUUUAUUCAUGAUGUUUGAUUCAAUCACCAUGUCUGAGUAGAUCUCUUGUUAGGUUUAGGGUUUUCAAAGGAAUUCAUGAGUUGUUAGGUUGUUAGAUUGUUAGGAUUGAAUCAAUAGAGUUCUUCAUCUAGAUUGUGGUUAAUUUGUUCUAGAGUAGUGAAAGCAACCUAGAAUAUGAUCUUCGGUGAAUUGGUAGACACGAAAGUGUUAUUGAUUUCCUGAAAAUAACCUAGAUGAGCAAAAUACCUACUCGCAAAGAGAUUUGGUUUAGGGAUUUUGUGAACUUAACAAACCUGAAUUAAACGCAUGUCUUAAACUUAUAAAUUUGCAAAGAGAUUUGGAAUUUAGGGUUCUAGAUAUAGAUAGUCUUUGCAACGAAAGUUGAUUGAUUAUAUUUCUGCGAUUUAAGUUCAAGAACAGUGCUUUAUAAAUCCUGACAAUUAUUUAUUUGCAAUUCUGAAUUUCCUGAGAAUGUCCCUAGGUCUAGCGUUUCCUCAUUAUUGUUUUAUAACCAAUCUUUAAUUUAAUUUGCUGUUUUUAUUUGAUUUAAAACCUGCUUGCUUAGCAUAAUUUUAUACCUAAUAUCUAUUGUGUAAUCGUUGAGUCUCUGUGGAUUCAAUCCAUAAGUACUACCGUGAUCUCUUAAUUGAGAGAGUAGCUCAGGACAAACUCAUAAACAUGGCAUAAGAGUUUAAGAGGGGACAUAAAAGAAUGAGGUCAGAAAUGCAAGAAUUUUGCAAGGUACCAAUCAAAAUCUUGCAGGUUUUGAGUAUUUUAAGCAGAAUCAUUCAAAGUAAAAUAAAAUUAGCAAAAGACUAAAUGUUCACAAAAGAAGAGAUUCAAUUUAAGCAUUCUUCCAUAUUUUCUUGCAAGGAAGAAAUAACAAGGAAAAACAAGACAAAUUUUAUCGUUCUGUAAUUCAUUUUCAGUGUCAUCCUACAACGUUCAUGUCUAAAUUUAACGACUUUUCGACAAGAAUGUAGCGGUAUAAAUUAAAGAAAAAGAUUUGUUACAAUUAUGGAAUUUUAGUAACGCUUUUUCUUAAUGAUUUUGUCAUUGUGUAAUUCACUUUCUACGGCAAUAAUAUAAAAAAUUGUUUGAAAAUUAAAAGAUUUUUAGUUGUUGACAUUUACCACAAAACAUUCACAAAAAUUCCAAACUUGAUUUAUAUGAGUUAAAUAUAAUUACAAUUUGAUUGAUUUUUGUGACAUAUUUUUUUAAUAUUAUUUUUAGAAUGUAAAUAUGAAAAAAUUGAAAUGUUAUUACUAAAAGUCUAGUGAACAACAUGCUUGUAAUAUAUAUAUAUAUAUAUAUAUAUAUAUAUAUAUAUAUAUAUCUUAUUAUAUAAAACUUGGUUUUCAAAGUUAGUCAUUAACAAGAUCGUGACAUGUGUUAAUUAUAAAUGAUAGGAUGUUGACACGUGCCGAUUCUGAUUUUGUUAAUGAUUAGAUAAAAAAUAUAUAGAAAUAUUCUUAAUCAUAUUGAAAAAGGAAAUUUAUAAAAUAUGUGUUAGAAACAGUUAUAUAUUCAACAUCUUUUGGAAAAUUAAACAAAUAACCUAAUUAAAGUUAUGUAAAUUUGAUUCAUUAAGAAGAUAGAGAUUUAAAAUUUACUAUUAAACGAGAUUAUAAAUCGGUUUAAUAAACUGAGAAGGAUUAAGGUGUAGAUUUUAAUUGUUAAGGUUUAGAUUUUAAUUUUACAAUUAAAAGUUAAAACAUGUUAUAUGUUGGUUUUGGUUUAUAAAUAAAAAUUAUAGUUUAGCUUUAUAAAAAAGAAUUAUGGUUUAGGCUUAACAAUUAAACGAGAUUGUAUAUAUAAUGAAGCUUGGUCUUUUGAAGUUACUAACUCACAUGAUCAUGAUAAGUGUCAAGUAAAACAUAAGAUGUCGCCACAUGCUAUAUUCAGUUUUGUUAAUAUUAAGAUAAAAAUAGUUGUUAAACACCAUAUUGAAAAAGAAAAGAGGGAAUAUCAAAAAAAUUCAUUUUCCAAUACCACUUUUUAAAAUUAUCCUUCUUUCUAAUUUUAUCAAAAAGUCACUAUCAAAUUUGAGAUUUAUCAAAAAAAUAUGUGUAAGCUUAUAUUUAUAGAUACAGAUUAUCUUUAUAUGUGUAUAAAUUUAUUUAUAUAUAUAUAUAUAUAUAUAUAUAUAUAUAAAUUUGAUAAAUACUAUAUAUACCUUUUAAAAACCUUUUAAAAAUCAUUUAAAAACUUUAUAAAAACUUCGUAAACCUUUUAAAAACCUUAUAAAUGCCAUUUAUAACCUUUUAAAACCAUAUAAAUAUUUGGAUUUAGUCUCUCAGUAGUAAUGAUGAUCUUGAUGUACCUUAUCAACCAUAUAAAAGUUUAUAAUUUUUCAUAUUUGAAAAUGGAUAGAAAGAGGGGUAUUUUUCAAAAGGGGUACACCAAAAGAGGUAUUUCUCAAAAAUUCUCAUUAAAAAUAAUUAUAUUUGAAAUUUUUAAUUAAAAAGUUCAUUAUUAACCUAAUUUUAGGUUAUGUCGGUUGGGAUUUAUCAAUGUUAUUAGGAUUUAUGAUUUAACAAGAUUAUAUGUUAGUUUUUGUUUAUAAAGGAAGAUUGAGACAUAUCUUUUACAAUUAUAUGGGUAAUAUGUUGGUUUAAGUUUAGAAAUGGGAAUUAUUUAGAUUUUAUAACUAAACUAGUAUUCCACCCGUACUGCGUACGGGAAAAACAAUGGAACGACAAUAGACCAUUUAAAUGAACUCAAUGAUACAAUGGAUUGUAAAAAGAACAAAAUAUGACGAAGUAAGUAGUAAUGUAAAGAUUAAGAGCCAAAACAAACAAAAGUAGGGCUGCCUUAUAAUUGUAUGCUUUAUUCAACGUUAGGUUGAGUACUUGUUAAUUAGUAAUUUAGUUUACUUGUUUUAUUGUCAUAUCAUGUGCUUGUUGAUCAAGCUGAGUAAUUUUUGUGAAGCAAAAUCUGUAAAACAAUAAUUCAAAAGAGUAAACAAAUGAGAGGCAAGUAGGCAAUACAUGCAUAUUGGUGCUACGUAUGCAGUAAUAAAAUUUACAACACCUUCGGCAAAAAGAAGUGGAACAAUAUAAGAAUGAUCUUCACGGUCAUCUCUUGCAACUCCUACAUGAAUUAUAAUGUUACAUGAAUUAGAUGUUAAAACAUUCUCGUCUGACAAAUAAAAUAAUUUUAUAGAAUUCUAGAAAGUACCUUCCUCUAUAAUAGAGACGAUGAAAGGCAUCAUCAUCUUAUGAAAUGAAUUAUAGAAGAAAAGAAGAGCUCACCGCGGUACAGUUUUGAACGACUAAAUGCUUUCUUCAGUUAAGAAUCUCAACUUCAAAGUUUUAUCACAAAGAACCUGAUCAGAAAGAAAAGAAAAAUCAAUCUAUAGUUUCUUCACCACUUCAAUGAUUAUAGAGAAAAUGCAAUUAGUGACACUUUUAAUUAAGGAACAGAUUCAUAUAUCUAGAUGACUAUGAGUAAGGCAAUAACAUUUUCUAGAGUACUAUGAGUCUAUGAAAUUACACAUGUUUGAUGUAAAUAGGAUCAGAGACAACGAAACUAAUAUAAAAGAGAAAGAGAAGUGCAAAUAUCCCGAUGACAAAAGCACAAUCGUUGCUUUGGGAACCGAGCUUUUCUCUCGCUUGCGAACAACUCUCCAAAUCUAGUUUUUCUUUUUUUUCUCGAUCUGCUCUUCAUAGUUGGUCACAGUCAAUCGAAAGUAAUCCAUGGUGAGUAGCUCCUCUUCUCUGUCAACGGUGGUGUGGUCUCUUCACCGAUGUGGGUGUGGCGAUGGAUGUGCGGUGGUAAAUCUCCUCAGCGCAUGUUCUCGUUUUGAAGACGGCGGGAAGCUUUGGAGAUUUAUUGGUUCAGCCGUUCUCUCCGGCAGCUGCGUCUACGGCGGAAGUUGGUGAAAGAGUAGGUGGGUUCGUUGUUAGACGAGGUGGUUAACGGUAGAUCUGUUAGAUCUUAGAUGGCAGAGGUGGAGUUUUUGGUUUCUUUCGGCGUGCUUGAGCCACCGUCGCUUGAAGCCGCCAUCUCUUAGCAUCCUCCCGUCCAGAUCGAGGAGGAGCUACUCGGAUUCUUGAAGAGAUCCGGUUAAGGAGGAAGAAGGAUAGAUCUGAGAGUGUUGAGUUGCUAGGUCAGGACUUGACACCGCGGAACCGUGUUGUCGGGGUGACUAGCUUUCCGGGAGGUUUGUAGCGGGUCAGGUGCGGUGGAGGAAAGGAGCCGCCGGCGAAAACCGGUCUCUUUCAACAGUGGUUUUCAAUCCUUCAUCGUGGCCGCAAAGCUGUGGAUCUUGAGCCCGCCGGAUCUAAUGCUCCGGUCACUCUGCCUCCGGCGAGCAGCAGGGUCCGAGUUCUUUUUCUUUUUCUGGUAAUCUAGGGUUUCCUUUGCUAAUGGGUUUAUUUCGUGUAAGGCUUGGCCCAGCCCAUUUGGGAAGUUUCGAAUUAUUAAUAAAAUUAUAUUAAAAAAAAAAAAAAAAAAAAUAUCCCGAUGACAGUAAGAAAGUCAUGAAUUAUAUGAAAAAAUAGAAUGAGGAAAAGUGCUGACGCAGAGUAAGAGAAAGUAAAGAAUGAUUAAAAUUGAGUUUACCGUGUUGAUUAAAUGGAAGAUGAAACAGUUUGAAUAGUGAGAUGGUUUUACAAAUUUGUGUCAUCGUGAGAUCAAAACGUGGUGUUGGUGUAAGAAGUAUAAUGCGCAAGUGCUUGGCAAGAGAAUGAAUUUUAUAAUUAUAAUCACACUAACGUUUAUGUACCUUAGAAUUGCUUCAAUACGUAGAACUACAGAUCUUUUGAAUGAAAAUUUCAUGUUCCGGAUAAGUUUUGAUCUUCCAUUUAAAUAUGAAGAUUAUACUCCAGAAGUAUUUUCCACCUGAAUAUAAAUCAGAAUCAAUAUGAAUUCAAGAGAAAAUGUAUAGCUAUGAACAAAAACUAAAAGAUUUACCUGCCCGAAAAUUGUGAAUUGUAACUGUAGUUUAUAACAGAAGAAAAACAAAAU
This 13467-nucleotide long non-coding RNA is filed under the name Capsella rubella. RNAcentral describes it as "long non-coding RNA (CRUB_LNC001598)". The record is from RNAcentral. Lineage: Eukaryota; Viridiplantae; Streptophyta; Magnoliopsida; Brassicales; Brassicaceae.